UCCCUGGUGGCCCAGUGGUUAGGGCUCUGCAUUUCCACUGCAAGGGGCACAGGUUCGAUCCUAGGUCAGGAAA
Molecule: transfer RNA, 73 nt
Filed under: Capra hircus (goat)
Lineage: Eukaryota; Metazoa; Chordata; Mammalia; Artiodactyla; Bovidae
Also listed under: 1 other name
Rfam family: tRNA
About the family: Transfer RNA (tRNA) molecules are approximately 80 nucleotides in length. Their secondary structure includes four short double-helical elements and three loops (D, anti-codon, and T loops).
Source: Rfam by way of RNAcentral